This 435-nucleotide ribosomal RNA is filed under the name uncultured Anaerolineaceae bacterium. RNAcentral's name for it is "bacterial SSU rRNA". It matches the Rfam family "Bacterial small subunit ribosomal RNA", at positions 930 to 1382 of the family's 1533-position model. Lineage: Bacteria; Bacillati; Chloroflexota; Anaerolineae; Anaerolineales; Anaerolineaceae. The record is from RNAcentral.
CAGCGGAGCGUGUGGUUUAAUUUCGAGGCUACACGAAGAACCUUACCUGGGCUUGACAUGGCGGUGGUAGCGACCUGAAGGGAGCGACCUUCGGGAGCCGUCACAGGUGCUGCAUGGCUGUCGUCAGCUCGUGUCGUGAGAUGUUCGGUUAAGUCCGGUAACGAGCGCAACCCUCGCCGUCAGUUACAAGUGUCUGGCGGGACUGCCCGUUGAACGCGGGAGGAAGGUGGGAUGACGUCAAGUCAGCAUGGCCUUUAUGUCCAGGGCUACACACACGCUACAAUGGCCGGCACAGAGGGUCGCCAACCCGCGAGGGGGAGCCAAUCCAAGAAAACCGAUCGUAGUCCGGAUUGCAGUCUGCAGCUCGACUGCAUGAAGUCGGAAUCGCUAGUAAUCGCGGAUCAGCAUGUCGCGGUGAAUACGUUCCCGGGCCUU